RNAcentral lists this ribosomal RNA (222 nucleotides) under Klebsiella pneumoniae. RNAcentral's name for it is "partial 23S ribosomal RNA". It matches the Rfam family "Bacterial large subunit ribosomal RNA", at positions 398 to 621 of the family's 2925-position model. Lineage: Bacteria; Pseudomonadati; Pseudomonadota; Gammaproteobacteria; Enterobacterales; Enterobacteriaceae. The record is from RNAcentral.
UGUGAACUCGAAGAGUAGGGCGGGACACGUGGUAUCCUGUCUGAAUAUGGGGGGACCAUCCUCCAAGGCUAAAUACUCCUGACUGACCGAUAGUGAACCAGUACCGUGAGGGAAAGGCGAAAAGAACCCCGGCGAGGGGAGUGAAAAAGAACCUGAAACCGUGUACGUACAAGCAGUGGGAGCACCUUCGGGUGUGACUGCGUACCUUUUGUAUAAUGGGUC